RNAcentral lists this long non-coding RNA (361 nucleotides) under Phoenix dactylifera (date palm). Its description in RNAcentral is "long non-coding RNA (PDAC_LNC006780)". The record is from RNAcentral. Lineage: Eukaryota; Viridiplantae; Streptophyta; Magnoliopsida; Arecales; Arecaceae.
CCUUCCUCCUGCCGAGAACUCCCCUAUUUAUAGAUCGCCCGAGCCUGGAGGAAGAGAAACGGGCGAGGGAUCAUGGCCGCUGGGAUUCCGGAAGAGGAGGAGGGCGCGGUCUGCGACCGUGGGCGGGAUCUCGGCUGCAUCACGGCGGAAGCAUAGGCGGAGGAGGCUGGAUCACGGGACGGUUGCUGGAGGAGGAGGCGAUCAUCCGAGAUCGCACAUGGAAUGGAAGGCGAUCCGGGAUCGAUGGGAGGAUGCCGUGGACGCUGGGAGGUGCGAACGGUGUGGCUGGCUUCACGGGCUGAGGCGUUGAAGACGGGAGGAGGCAUUCACGGCUUGGAUCCUGGCUGGAGCUGGGAGGAAN